This 399-nucleotide ribosomal RNA is filed under the name uncultured bacterium. Its description in RNAcentral is "bacterial SSU rRNA". It matches the Rfam family "Bacterial small subunit ribosomal RNA", at positions 357 to 772 of the family's 1533-position model. The record is from RNAcentral.
GGGAAUAUUGCACAAUGGGCGAAAGCCUGAUGCAGCAACGCCGCGUGCGGGAAGAAGGCCCUAGGGUUGUAAACCGCUUUCAGCAGGGAAGAAAAUGACGGUACCUGCAGAAGAAGGUGCGGCCAACUACGUGCCAGCAGCCGCGGUGACACGUAGGCACCAAGCGUUGUCCGGAUUUAUUGGGCGUAAAGAGCUCGUAGGCGGUUUUGUAAGUCGGGUGCGAAAACUCUGGGCUCAACCCAGAGAGGCCACCCGAUACUGCAAUGACUUGAGUACGGUAGGGGAGCGGGGAAUUCCUGGUGUAGCGGUGAAAUGCGCAGAUAUCAGGAGGAACACCAGUGGCGAAGGCGCCGCUCUGGGCCGUAACUGACGCUGAGGAGCGAAAGCAUGGGUAGCAAA